CCUACGGGUGGCAGCAGUGAGGAAUAUUGGUCAAUGGACGAGAGUCUGAACCAGCCAAGUAGCGUGAAGGAUGACUGCCCUAUGGGUUGUAAACUUCUUUUAUAUGGGAAUAAAAUGUUCCACGUGUGGGAUUUUGUAUGUACUAUAUGAAUAAGGAUCGGCUAACUCCGUGCCAGCAGCCGCGGUAAUACGGAGGAUCCGAGCGUUAUCCGGAUUUAUUGGGUUUAAAGGGAGCGUAGGUGGAUUGUUAAGUCAGUUGUGAAAGUUUGCGGCUCAACCGUAAAAUUGCAGUUGAAACUGGCAGUCUUGAGUACAGUAGAGGUGGGCGGAAUUCGUGGUGUAGCGGUGAAAUGCUUAGAUAUCACGAAGAACCCCGAUUGCGAAGGCAGUUCACUAGACUGCAACUGACACUGAGGCUCGAAAGUGUGGGUAUCAAACAGGAUUAGAUACCCCUGUAGUC
Molecule: ribosomal RNA, 460 nt
Filed under: uncultured bacterium
Lineage: Bacteria
Description: partial 16S ribosomal RNA
Rfam family: Bacterial small subunit ribosomal RNA
Source: RNAcentral